This 465-nucleotide ribosomal RNA is filed under the name Vreelandella stevensii. Its description in RNAcentral is "partial 16S ribosomal RNA". It matches the Rfam family "Bacterial small subunit ribosomal RNA", at positions 338 to 795 of the family's 1533-position model. The record is from RNAcentral. Lineage: Bacteria; Pseudomonadati; Pseudomonadota; Gammaproteobacteria; Oceanospirillales; Halomonadaceae.
CCUACGGGGGGCAGCAGUGGGGAAUAUUGGACAAUGGGGGCAACCCUGAUCCAGCCAUGCCGCGUGUGUGAAGAAGGCCCUCGGGUUGUAAAGCACUUUCAGUGAGGAAGAACGCCUGGUGGUUAAUACCCAUCAGGAAAGACAUCACUCACAGAAGAAGCACCGGCUAACUCCGUGCCAGCAGCCGCGGUAAUACGGAGGGUGCGAGCGUUAAUCGGAAUUACUGGGCGUAAAGCGCGCGUAGGUGGCUUGAUAAGCCGGUUGUGAAAGCCCCGGGCUCAACCGGGGAACGGCAUCCGGAACUGUCAAGCUAGAGUGCAGUAGAGGAAGGUAGAAUUCCCGGUGUAGCGGUGAAAUGCGUAGAGAUCGGGAGGAAUACCAGUGGCGAAGGCGGCCUUCUGGACUGACACUGACACUGAGGUGCGAAAGCGUGGGUAGCAAACAGGAUUAGAUACCCCGGUAGUC